UUGUAAGUGUGUAAGGGCGUUCGGUGGAUGCCUUGGUACACGGAGCCGAUGAAGGACGUUGUAGCCUGCGAUAAGCCUCGGGGAGUUGGCAUACGAGCUGUGAUCCGAGGGUGUCCGAAUGGGGGAACCUGCCUGGAGUUGUUUCUGGGUACCGUCAUCUGAAUGUAUAGGGUGAUUGGGGGUAACGCGGGGAAGUGAAACAUCUUAGUACCCGUAGGAAGAGAUAUUCUGUGAGUAGUGGCGAGCGAAAGCGGAUGAGGUUAAACCGGGUGUGUGUGAUAGCCGUCGGGCGUUGCAUAUUCGGGGUUGUGGGAGCUGCGUGAUUCCUCCGACGAGGGGUUAAGGAGUGAUAAAGGUGUGGGAUAGGUGAAUCAGUUGGGAAGCUGGACCGUAGACCGUGAUAGUCGGGUAGGUGAAAUCCUGCGCUCUUCUUGUGGUGUUCCCGAGUAGCACGGGGCUCGUGAAAUCUCGUGUGAAUCUGCACAGACCACUGUGUAAACCUAAAUACUUCGUGUGACCGAUAGUGGAUGAGUACCGUGAGGGAAUGGUGAAAAGUACCCCGGGAGGGGAGUGAAAUAGUACCUGAAACCGUGCGCUUACAAUCCGUCAGAGCCUUCUUUGGUGGGGGUGAUGGCGUGCCUUUUGAAGAAUGAGCCUGCGAGUUAGGAUGUGUGGCGAGGUUAACCCGUGUGGGGUAGUCGUAGCGAAAGCGAGUCUGAAUAGGGCGUUGAGUUGCAUGUUCUAGACCCGAAGCGAAGUGAUCUAGCCAUGGGCAGGGUGAAGCACGUGUAAGAGCGUGUGGAGGCCCGAACCCACUUCAGUUGAAAAUGGAGGGGAUGACCUGUGGUUAGGGGUGAAAGGCCAAUCAAACUUCGUGAUAGCUGGUUCUCCCCGAAAUGCAUUUAGGUGCAGCGUUGCGUGUGCUUGCUGGUGGUAGAGCGACUGGAUGGUCGAUGGCCCUUAUACCGGGUACUGAGAUCAGCCAAACUCCGAAUGCUGGUGAAGUUGAGCGUGGCAGUGAGACUGCGGGGGAUAAGCUCCGUAGUCGAGAGGGAAACAGCCCAGAUCAUCGGUUAAGGCCCCUAAGGGUGUGCUAAGUGGGAAAGGAUGUGGAGUUGCUGUGACAACCAGGAGGUUGGCUUAGAAGCAGCCAUCCUUGAAAGAGUGCGUAAUAGCUCACUGGUCAAGUGAUUCCGCGCCGACAAUGUAGCGGGGCUAAGUACACCGCCGAAACCGUGGCAACAAUUUUUGUUGGGUAGGGGAGCGUCGUGCUUGAGGUGAAGCUGCCAGGUGACUGUGUGGUGGAUUGAGUGCGAGUGAGAAUGCAGGCAUGAGUAGCGAAUGACGGGUGGGAAUCCCGUCCUCCGAAUGACUAAGGGUUCCAGGGCCAGGUUCGUCCGCCCUGGGUUAGUCGGGUCCUAAGGCGAGGCCGACAGGCGUAGUCGAUGGGUAACCAGUUGUUAUUCUGGUACCGGCGAAGGACCGUCCAUGCUGAAGCGGGGGAUACUAACCAUCCUUGCCUGCCUGCUGCCUCUUAUUUUUGGGGUGUGUGGGUGUGGUGAGCGUGGGGCCUGAUCUUGUGGUAGGCAAGCGUGUUAACAGGGGUGACGCACAGUGGUAGCUUCCGCGUGGCUUAUGGCUUGCCACGUUUAACAGCGCAGCUUGUUCCUUAGGUAAAUCCGGGGAGCGUGAAGAGUGAGGCUGGAUGAUGAGACCGUGUGGUCGAAGUAGAGUGAUCCUGUGGUGCCAAGAAAAGCCUCGACGUGAGGUUCUAGCCGCCCGUACCCUAAACCGACACAGGUAGUCGAGUAGAGUAUACUAAGGAGUUCGAGUGAAUCGUGGUUAAGGAACUCGGCAAAAUGCCCCCGUAACUUCGGGAGAAGGGGGGCCUGAUCCUUGAAGCGCCUUUGCGUGCUAGGGGUGAUGGCCGCAGAAACCAGGGAGAAGCGACUGUUUAUCAAAAACACAGGUCCGUGCGAACACGUAAGUGGAUGUAUACGGACUGACGCCUGCCCGGUGCUGGAAGGUUAAGAGGAUCGGUUAGACUGUGUGUCGAAGCUGAGAAUUUAAGCCCCAGUAAACGGCGGUGGUAACUAUAACCAUCCUAAGGUAGCGAAAUUCCUUGUCGGGUAAGUUCCGACCUGCACGAAUGGCGUAACGACUUCUCCACUGUCUCAACCGCGAACUCGGUGAAAUUGCAUUACGAGUAAAGAUGCUCGUUACGCGCAGCAGGACGGAAAGACCCCGGGACCUUUACUAUAGCUUGGUAUUGGUGUUUGGUACGGUUUGUGUAGGAUAGGUGGGAGACUGUGAAGCCCUCACGCUAGUGGGGGUGGAGUCAUUGUUGAAAUACCACUCUGAUCGUGCUGGAUGUCUAACCUUGGACCAUGAUCUGGUUCAGGGACAGUGCCUGGUGGGUAGUUUAACUGGGGCGGUUGCCUCCUAAAUGGUAACGGAGGCGCU
Non-coding RNA from Trueperella pyogenes, 2463 nucleotides. The record is from Rfam. Lineage: Bacteria; Bacillati; Actinomycetota; Actinomycetes; Actinomycetales; Actinomycetaceae.